Molecule: ribosomal RNA, 495 nt
Filed under: uncultured bacterium
Lineage: Bacteria
Description: partial 16S ribosomal RNA
Rfam family: Bacterial small subunit ribosomal RNA
Source: RNAcentral
GACGAACGCUGGCGGCGUGCCUAAUACAUGCAAGUAGAACGCUGAAGGCGGAGCUUGCUUCUCCGGAUGAGUCGCGAACGGGUGAGUAACGCGUAGGUAACCUGCCUGGUAGCGGGGGAUAACUAUUGGAAACGAUAGCUAAUACCGCAUAAGAGUAGAUGUCGCAUGACAUUUGCUUAAAAGGUGCAACUGCACCACUACCAGAUGGACCUGCGUUGUAUUAGCUAGUUGGUGAGGUAACGGCUCUCCAAGGCAACGAUGCAUAGCCGACCUGUGAGGGUGAGCGGACACACUGGGAGGGAGACACGGCCCAGAGUGCGACGGGAGGCAGCAGUAGGGAAACUGCGGCAAGGGGCGGAAGUCUGACCGAGCAACGCCGCGUGAGGAAAGAAGGUUUUCGGAUCGUGAAGCUCGGUUGUAAGAGAAGAACGAGUGUGAGAGUGGAAAGUUCACACAGUGACGGUAUCUGACCAGAAAGGGACGGCUAACUACGUG